Molecule: ribosomal RNA, 440 nt
Filed under: uncultured bacterium
Lineage: Bacteria
Description: partial 16S ribosomal RNA
Rfam family: Bacterial small subunit ribosomal RNA
Source: RNAcentral
CCUACGGGUGGCAGCAGUGGGGAAUAUUGCACAAUGGGGGAAACCCUGAUGCAGCGACGCCGCGUGAGUGAAGAAGUAUUUCGGUAUGUAAAGCUCUAUCAGCAGGGAAGAAAAUGACGGUACCUGAUGAAGAAGCCCCGGCUAACUACGUGCCAGCAGCCGCGGUAAUCCGUAGGGGGCAAGCGUUAUCCGGAUUUACUGGGUGUAAAGGGAGCGUAGACGGUGAUGCAAGUCAGAAGUGAAAGCUCGGGGCUCAACUCCGGGACUGCUUUUGAAACUGUGGGACUGGAGUGCAGGAGAGGUAAGCGGAAUGCGUGGUGUAGCGGUGAAAUGCGUAGAGAUCAGGAGGAACACCAGUGGCGAAGGCGGCUUACUGGACUGUAACUGACGUUGAGGCUCGAAGGCGUGGGGAGAAAACAGGAUUAGAUACCCGUGUAGUC